GAUGAACGCUGGCGGCGUGCCUAAUACAUGCAAGUCGAGCGAACGGACGAGAAGCUUGCUUUUCUGAUGUUAGCGGCGGACGGGUGAGUAACACGUGGGUAACCUACCUAUAAGACUGGGAUAACUUCGGGAAACCGGAGCUAAUACCGGAUAAUAUUUUGAACCGCAUGGUUCAAAGGUGAAAGACGGUCUUGCUGUCACUUAUAGAUGGAUCCGCGCUGCAUUAGCUAGUUGGUAAGGUAACGGCUUACCAAGGCAACGAUGCAUAGCCGACCUGAGAGGGUGAUCGGCCACACUGGAACUGAGACACGGUCCAGACUCCUACGGGAGGCAGCAGUAGGGAAUCUUCCGCAAUGGGCGAAAGCCUGACGGAGCAACGCCGCGUGAGUGAUGAAGGUCUUCGGAUCGUAAAACUCUGUUAUUAGGGAAGAACAUAUGUGUAAGUAACUGUGCACAUCUUGACGGUACCUAAUCAGAAAGCCACGGCUAACUACGUGCCAGCAGCCGCGGUAAUACGUAGGUGGCAAGCGUUAUCCGGAAUUAUUGGGCGUAAAGCGCGCGUAGGCGGUUUUUUAAGUCUGAUGUGAAAGCCCACGGCUCAACCGUGGAGGGUCAUUGGAAACUGGAAAACUUGAGUGCAGAAGAGGAAAGUGGAAUUCCAUGUGUAGCGGUGAAAUGCGCAGAGAUAUGGAGGAACACCAGUGGCGAAGGCGACUUUCUGGUCUGUAACUGACGCUGGUGUGCGAAAGCGUGGGGAUCAAACAGGAUUAGAUACCCUGGUAGUCCACGCCGUAAACGAUGAGUGCUAAGUGUUAGGGGGUUUCCGCCCCUUAGUGCUGCAGCUAACGCAUUAAGCACUCCGCCUGGGGAGUACGACCGCAAGGUUGAAACUCAAAGGAAUUGACGGGGACCCGCACAAGCGGUGGAGCAUGUGGUUUAAUUCGAAGCAACGCGAAGAACCUUACCAAAUCUUGACAUCCUUUGACAACUCUAGAGAUAGAGCCUUCCCCUUCGGGGGACAAAGUGACAGGUGGUGCAUGGUUGUCGUCAGCUCGUGUCGUGAGAUGUUGGGUUAAGUCCCGCAACGAGCGCAACCCUUAAGCUUAGUUGCCAUCAUUAAGUUGGGCACUCUAAGUUGACUGCCGGUGACAAACCGGAGGAAGGUGGGGAUGACGUCAAAUCAUCAUGCCCCUUAUGAUUUGGGCUACACACGUGCUACAAUGGACAAUACAAAGGGCAGCGAAACCGCGAGGUCAAGCAAAUCCCAUAAAGUUGUUCUCAGUUCGGAUUGUAGUCUGCAACUCGACUACAUGAAGCUGGAAUCGCUAGUAAUCGUAGAUCAGCAUGCUACGGUGAAUACGUUCCCGGGUCU
This 1372-nucleotide ribosomal RNA is filed under the name uncultured bacterium. RNAcentral's name for it is "bacterial SSU rRNA". It matches the Rfam family "Bacterial small subunit ribosomal RNA", at positions 28 to 1381 of the family's 1533-position model. The record is from RNAcentral.